RNAcentral lists this ribosomal RNA (253 nucleotides) under uncultured bacterium. RNAcentral's name for it is "partial 16S ribosomal RNA". It matches the Rfam family "Bacterial small subunit ribosomal RNA", at positions 524 to 776 of the family's 1533-position model. The record is from RNAcentral.
UACAGAGGGGGCAAGCGUUAUUCGGAAUUAUUGGGCGUAAAGGGCGCGUAGGCGGCUUGGCAAGUGACGGGUGAAACCCCUCGGCUUAACCGAGGAACUGCCCGUUAGACUGUUAGGCUUGAGACCGGGAGAGGUGAGUGGAAUUCCCAGUGUAGCGGUGAAAUGCGUAGAUAUUGGGAGGAACACCAGUGGCGAAGGCGGCUCACUGGACCGGUACUGACGCUGAGGCGCGAAAGCGUGGGGAGCAAACAGG